AUUGAACGCUGGCGGCAGGCCUAACACAUGCAAGUCGAACGGUAACAGGAAGAAGCUUGCUUCUUUGCUGACGAGUGGCGGACGGGUGAGUAAUGUCUGGGAAACUGCCUGAUGGAGGGGGAUAACUACUGGAAACGGUAGCUAAUACCGCAUAACGUCGCAAGACCAAAGAGGGGGACCUUCGGGCCUCUUGCCAUCGGAUGUGCCCAGAUGGGAUUAGCUAGUAGGUGGGGUAACGGCUCACCUAGGCGACGAUCCCUAGCUGGUCUGAGAGGAUGACCAGGCACACUGGAACUGAGACACGGUCCAGACUCCUACGGGAGGCAGCAGUGGGGAAUAUUGCACAAUGGGCGCAAGCCUGAUGCAGCCAUGCCGCGUGUAUGAAGAAGGCCUUCGGGUUGUAAAGUACUUGCAGCGGGGAGGAAGGGAGUAAAGUUAAUACCAUUGCUCAUUGACGUUACCCGCAGAAGAAGCACCGGCUAACUCCGUG
RNAcentral lists this ribosomal RNA (490 nucleotides) under uncultured bacterium. RNAcentral's name for it is "partial 16S ribosomal RNA". It matches the Rfam family "Bacterial small subunit ribosomal RNA", at positions 30 to 507 of the family's 1533-position model. The record is from RNAcentral.